RNAcentral lists this ribosomal RNA (253 nucleotides) under uncultured bacterium. RNAcentral's name for it is "partial 16S ribosomal RNA". It matches the Rfam family "Bacterial small subunit ribosomal RNA", at positions 524 to 776 of the family's 1533-position model. The record is from RNAcentral.
UACGUAGGGUGCAAGCGUUAAUCGGAAUUACUGGGCGUAAAGCGUGCGCAGGCGGUUGUGCACGACCGAUGUGAAAUCCCCGGGCUUAACCUGGGAAUGGCAUUUGGGACUGCAAGGCUGGAGUGUGGCAGAGGAGACUGGAAUUCCCGGUGUAGCAGUGAAAUGCGUAGAUAUCGGGAGGAAUACCGAUGGCGAAGGCAGGUCUCUGGGCUGACACUGACGCUCAUGCACGAAAGCGUGGGGAGCAAACAGG